CUCCUCAUAUCCACUAAUAACAGAAGAAACAGAAACAUUUCAUUUCAUUACAGGAUCUUCACAACUUUCUCUCUUCUUUUCCUUCAUUAUCUAUAAUAAGAUCGAGAGCUAGCAGCUAGUGCUGCAGCUUAGUUUUGGUCUAUUUUCUUGUAUUGAGAAGAUUAUCUUGGAAGCAAAUUUUUUGUUUUCGUUUUCAAGAAUUCUUCCCAAAACCAAUACAAUAUGGUCACUUUGAUGUCUCAAGAAAACAUUGUUGCUUUGGUGUCUCGCACUGGAAGGCAUUUGCAACGAUACAACAAGGGUCGUCGCCAAGUCGUAGGAUGCAUACCAUACAGAUACAGGAUUACAAACCAGACUUCCAUUGAAGAUGCAGGAGAUUUAGAAGUUCUUGUCAUCAGUUCUCAAAAAGGCAAAGGGAUGUUGUUCCCAAAGGGAGGUUGGGAAACAGAUGAAUCCAAAAUAGAGGCGGCUUCACGGGAGACCCUAGAGGAAGCAGGGGUUCGAGGCAUUAUCGAGUCUGAACUGGGUCAAUGGAGUUUCAAGAGCAAAAGCCAUGAUACAUAUUAUGAAGGAUUCAUGUUCCCUUUGCUUGUUCAAGAGCAGUUAGAUUUCUGGCCUGAGAAGAAUGCCCGAAAAAGAAUAUGGAUGAGCGUGCAAGAAGCUAGAGAAGUUUGUCAGCAUUUGUGGAUGAAGGAAGCCUUAGAUAGAUUUGUAAGUCGGCUGACUUCUCAACAAUCUGCUGAGGAACAAGCGAGGCCUACAUGUGCAAUAAGCUAGGACGACAAAUCUGAUUUGUAAAUAGGAAAUUGUUGAAGUACACAUCAAUCUUGCUGUAAUACCAGAUGAACUAAGGAAAAAUAGGAUCCAAAAAGCAAGAAAGAGUGACUUAGAAAAAGGGAUAGCAGAAAGUUGGCUAUUCUGUUUCUUGUUUAGCUUUCUUGGAAUUCUCCUCCAAGAAAAAAAGGAAAAAAAAAAAAUAAAAAAAAAGAGAAAAAGAAUCCGGAGGUAAGCUGUGCUAAAGCUACGAAUGUAGCUAGCUGAGGAUUAGAAACUUGUUCACGAAAUUUGUACAUGGUUUCUAAUAAUAAGAAAGUUCUUGUUUCAGAAUUCA
Molecule: RNA transcript, 1111 nt
Organism: Quercus robur (English oak)
Lineage: Eukaryota; Viridiplantae; Streptophyta; Magnoliopsida; Fagales; Fagaceae
Gene name: nudix hydrolase 17, mitochondrial-like
Exons: 6
Source: RefSeq, a predicted model, not a curated record